UUUAUGGUGUGACUUUUCUCCCCUGCACGACUAAACCUAAACCCUAGGUUCGACCCCUCGUAUCAAAAUCCACCUCCACAUCCGAGUCCGAUUACGUUACCCUCGGCGGCCGCCGCCGACGGUCGGCUGUCUUCACUCGCAGCUAAGGUGCCAGACUCCUUCGAAGCUUUGACGUAAUUGUGUUAAUCUGUAGAUAUCCCUGAUACCGCUAGUAAUACAUAUGGCUACUAGGAAAAGUCUGCAGCUUAUUACUUUCUCUCAGGAAAUCGUGGAUGGAGAACCUAUCUAUGUUUCGUCUAACAGCCUUCCAAUCAAGGCUUUCAACCGUGAGCCUGCAGGACAUGCUUUUCACGCUGCAGCGCUUAGGUUGAUAGGUCAUGUUGAGGAAACAAAUGCAGAUAAUGAAAAGAAGAAUGAGGGUUCAAAUGAGAAGGAGCAGGACUACAGGCAAACAUGGGAUUCCUACAGUAAUAAAGGAAAGAAGAAAUCUGGCAGUGAAGGGAAGGAGCAGGAUCAUUAUGCUUUAUUGGGAUUGGGCCAUUUGAGGUAUCUUGCAACUGAGGAACAGAUAAGAAAAAGUUAUCGUGAAACUGCUCUGAGGCAUCAUCCUGAUAAGCGGGCUGCCCUUCUGCUUGCUGAGGAAACCGAGGCAGCAAAACAAGCAAAGAAGGAUGAAAUAGAGAGCCAUUUCAAGGCUGUUCAGGAAGCUUACGAGGUGCUCAUUGAUCCUGUCAAGAGAAGAAUCUAUGAUUCAACAGAUGAGUUUGAUGAUGAAAUUCCAUUUGAGUGUGCACCGCAGGACUUUUUCAAGGUAUUUGGACCAGCAUUCUUGAGAAAUGGGCGCUGGUCAGUCCACCAGCCUAUCCCGACUUUGGGAGAUGAAAAUUCGACUUUCGAAGAAGUGGAUAGUUUUUAUGAUUUUUGGUAUAGCUUUAAGAGCUGGAGGGAGUUUCCCCAUGCUGAUGAGUUUGAUGUUGAGCAAGCUGAGUCCCGUGAUCACAAAAGGUGGAUGGAGAGGCAAAAUGCUAAACUCACAGAGAAAGCUAGGAAGGAAGAAUAUGGACGUAUCCGUACACUUGUUGACAAUGCCUAUAAAAGGGACCCUAGAAUUCUUAGAAGAAAAGAUGAGCUGAAAGCUGAGAAACAGAGGAAGAAGGAGGCCAAGAUUUUGGCAAAGAAACUGCAGGAGGAAGAAGCAGCUAGGAUUGCUGAGGAGGAGAGACGGAAAAAAGAGGAGGAUGAAAAAAAGGCUGCUGAAGCUGCUUUAAAUCAGAAAAAGUUGAAGGAGAAAGAGAAAAAGCUAUUGCGCAAGGAGCGGUCCCGGCUGCGAACACUUUCUGGGUCUGUUGUGUCCGAGGAUUUACUUGAUCUUUCUGAUGAUAAAGUGGAAGGUCUUUGCAUGUCACUCAAUAUUGAACAACUGAGGAAUUUAUGUGACAAGAUGGAAAGAAAGGAAGGGCUAGGGAGAGCUGAACUUCUCAGGGAGGCACUUGGAUCUGAUAACAAAUCCAAGGAUGAGAAACAGCAUAACGAGAAGAAGAACCAACAGCUGAAUGGUUCUGUGGGGGUGAACAAGCAAGUAAUUUUUGGCAGCAAUGAGAAAAGGGAGAGCCCCUGGGGCAAAGAAGAGAUUGAGAUGUUAAGAAAGGGGGUGCAAAAAUAUCCGAAAGGAACUUCUCGGAGGUGGGAAGUGAUUUCUGAGUACAUUGGUACUGGAAGGUCAGUUGAAGAGAUUCUGAAGGCUACAAAAACUGUUCUUCUUCAGAAGCCUGACUCCGCUAAAGCUUUUGAUUCCUUCCUUGAGAAAAGAAAGCCGGCACAAUCAAUUGCAUCUCCUCUGACAGCUAGAGAGGACUUGCCUGGGAAUUUAAACGGCAGUGUGCCCAAGAGGAAUGCUUCUGAUCCAAAUAAUUUGCCCGAGUCAUUCAGUGGAACUGGAAGCUGCCAGAACUCAGACGAGAGGGCAGCUUCUAAUGGUGUUUCUUCAAGUUCAGAUCUGGAUGCAUGGUCAGCUGUUCAGGAAAAAGCUUUAGUUCAAGCUCUGAAGACCUUUCCCAAGGAAACUAGCCAGCGCUGGGAACGAAUUUCAGCCGCAGUUCCCGGGAAAACUGUCAGCCAAUGUAAGAAGAAAUUUAUGUUGAUGAAAGAUAACUUUAGGAACAGCAAUGUGCUAGAGAAGAAUAGUUGUCAGUCGGACGGUUCAGAUCCAUCUUCCAGUCCCAUUGAGAAUGGUCAAAAAAGGGAUGAAAGCAAUACCGGAAAUGGGGUUUCUUCAAGUUCUGAUCAGGAUAUUUGGUCUGAUCUUCAGGAAAAAGCUUUGGUCCAAUCUCUCAAAACAUUCCCAAAGGAAACUAACCAGAGGUGGGAACGAGUAGCUGCUGCAGUUCCUGGAAAAACUGUUAAUCAGUGUAAGAAAAAGUUUGCAAUGCUGAAAGAGAACUUCAGGAACAAGAAAAAUGCAGUGUAGUCUCCACACUGGGAAAGACGAUGAAUCUGAGUGAGAUUGUCUGGAUAUAAGGAAAGAGGGCACUUGACGAGCCAGCUCCAAUUAUUGGAAAGGUUUGAAGAGUUCAGUGAAGGGAACCUUCCUGCCAGAGGGUUGUUCUCGAUGGAACUAGUAUUCAGGACUGCUUACAGCACCUUCCAUUCACUCGUCUCCCUACUUGGGAAUUCUAACCAAAUCCAGGGUGCGAGGGUAACUCUCUUUGAGGAACUCAGCAAAAUAGUCCCGUAACUUCUGGAGAAGGGAUGGCCUCCUCUCAAAGGGGGCCGCAGUGAUGAGUCCCGAGUGACUGUUUUAUCAAAAACAUAGGUCUCUACAAAGUCACAAGACGUAAAGUUAAUCAAUCCAAGCAAUCGAGAUUCUUAUAUAAAUAUUAACGACCGAUGGGAAUGGAGUGAAGCGGGGGGCAGGUUUGGAUGCUUAUUUAUCUAUUCGGUUCAGCGAUACAACUAAUCUACCGAGCAUUCCACGCCCUACCGUUUAUAUUUGAUGUUUGUGUUCUUGCAAUGUAUUAUAGAGCUUACAUCAUUCUCGUGAAUGAGACAUUCUUCAAGCCUAUGCAAAAUACGUAUCAAAUCAAUUAAGCUGUGUUUUCGUUAAUC
This is an RNA transcript of Olea europaea var. sylvestris, 3105 nucleotides long. It is a transcript of the gene named dnaJ homolog subfamily C member 2-like, with no coding region annotated. Lineage: Eukaryota; Viridiplantae; Streptophyta; Magnoliopsida; Lamiales; Oleaceae. The record is from RefSeq and is a predicted model, not a curated record. The transcript is spliced from 4 exons.